Molecule: ribosomal RNA, 266 nt
Filed under: Shigella boydii
Lineage: Bacteria; Pseudomonadati; Pseudomonadota; Gammaproteobacteria; Enterobacterales; Enterobacteriaceae
Description: partial 16S ribosomal RNA
Rfam family: Bacterial small subunit ribosomal RNA
Source: RNAcentral
ACUCCGUGCCAGCAGCCGCGGUAAUACGGAGGGUGCAAGCGUUAAUCGGAAUUACUGGGCGUAAAGCGCACGCAGGCGGUUUGUUAAGUCAGAUGUGAAAUCCCCGGGCUCAACCUGGGAACUGCAUCUGAUACUGGCAAGCUUGAGUCUCGUAGAGGGGGGUAGAAUUCCAGGUGUAGCGGUGAAAUGCGUAGAGAUCUGGAGGAAUACCGGUGGCGAAGGCGGCCCCCUGGACGAAGACUGACGCUCAGGUGCGAAAGCGUGGG